CCCGUGCACCUUUACUACAGCUUUGCAGUGGCAUCAGAAGAUGAAUGUGUAGGAUAGGCGGGAGGCUUUGAAGCGGCAGCGCCAGCUGUUGUGGAGCCAUCCUUGAAAUACCGCCCUUUUGUUUUUUGAUAUCUAACCGCGGUCCGUCAUCCGGAUCCGGGACCCUGCAUGGUGGGUAGUUUGACUGGGGCGGUCUCCUCCCAAAGAGUAACGGAGGAGUGCGAAGGUGACCUCAGCGCGGUCGGAAAUCGCGCAAUGAGUGCAAAGGCAUAAGGUCGCUUAACUGCGAGACAGACACGUCGAGCAGGUGCGAAAGCAGGUCUUAGUGAUCCGGUGGUUCUGUAUGGAAGGGCCAUCGCUCAACGAAUAAAAGGUACUCCGGGGAUAACAGGCUGAUUCCUCCCAAGAGUCCACAUCGACGGAGGAGUUUGGCACCUCGAUGUCGGCUCAUCACAUCCUGGGGCUGUAGCAGGUCCCAAGGGUAUGGCUGUUCGCCAUUUAAAGUGG
RNAcentral lists this ribosomal RNA (507 nucleotides) under Scrippsiella trochoidea. RNAcentral's name for it is "partial Bacterial large subunit ribosomal RNA". It matches the Rfam family "Bacterial large subunit ribosomal RNA", at positions 2090 to 2596 of the family's 2925-position model. Lineage: Eukaryota; Dinophyceae; Peridiniales; Peridiniaceae. The record is from RNAcentral.